RNAcentral lists this ribosomal RNA (33 nucleotides) under Athanas nitescens. Its description in RNAcentral is "partial 5.8S ribosomal RNA". The record is from RNAcentral. Lineage: Eukaryota; Metazoa; Arthropoda; Malacostraca; Decapoda; Alpheidae.
CUCCUAGUGGUGAUCACUCGGCUUCGUUGCGUC